GUUCUCUAACGAGUCUUCACAGCAGCAAAAACUGCCGUUGUCUCCUUGCUUAGAUUGAAAUGAGUUGAUGAGAUGCCAGCAAAAGGAAAAGUAAACCUCAAGUCACAUAUUGCUAUCUCAGUAAGUCACAGAACAAAAAAAGAAUGGGUCUCCGUGUCUCUUCCAGUUAUUGUUUUAAUAUUAAGAAAACAUAAGGAACAUAUUUUCCUUGAAAAAUAGAUGUUCGGAAACAUUUUUAUCUAUUACAUUGCUUGACAUCAUUUGAUUGCUAUAUUAUUUAUAAUGAUGUCCUUGAAGCAAAAUUUUCAUUUUUCUGUUGUUGUAGCAUCAAUGCAUACAUAACGAACAAUAAAAUAGUGACUCAAUAUAGAA
Pantherophis guttatus is the source of this 372-nucleotide long non-coding RNA. RefSeq lists it as uncharacterized. NCBI's taxonomy places the organism in Eukaryota, Metazoa, Chordata, Lepidosauria, Squamata, Colubridae. The record is from RefSeq and is a predicted model, not a curated record.